RNAcentral lists this ribosomal RNA (492 nucleotides) under uncultured bacterium. Its description in RNAcentral is "partial 16S ribosomal RNA". It matches the Rfam family "Bacterial small subunit ribosomal RNA", at positions 29 to 507 of the family's 1533-position model. The record is from RNAcentral.
AGUGAACGCUGGCGGUAGGCCUAACACAUGCAAGUCGAACGGCAGCACAGUAAGAGCUUGCUCUUACGGGUGGCGAGUGGCGGACGGGUGAGGAAUACAUCGGAAUCUACUUUUUCGUGGGGGAUAACGUAGGGAAACUUACGCUAAUACCGCAUACGACCUACGGGUGAAAGCAGGGGAUCUUCGGACCUUGCGCGAUUGAAUGAGCCGAUGUCGGAUUAGCUAGUUGGCGGGGUAAAGGCCCACCAAGGCGACGAUCCGUAGCUGGUCUGAGAGGAUGAUCCGCCACACUGGAACUGAGACACGGUCCAGACUCCUACGGGAGGCAGCAGUGGGGAAUAUUGGACAAUGGGCGCAAGCCUGAUCCAGCCAUACCGCGUGGGUGAAGAAGGCCUUCGGGUUGUAAAGCCCUUUUGUUGGGAAAGAAAAGCAGCAGGUUAAUACCCCGCUGUUCUGACGGUACCCAAAGAAUAAGUACCGGCUAACUUCGUG